UACGAAGGGGGCGAGCGUUGUUCGGAAUUACUGGGCGUAAAGGGCGCGUAGGCGGCCCCUUUUGUCGCGUGUGAAAGCCCCGGGCUCAACCUGGGAAUUGCGCGCGAAACGGAGGGGCUUGGGUUCGGGAGAGGAGAGUGGAAUUCCCAGUGUAGAGGUGAAAUUCGUAGAUAUUGGGAAGAACACCGGUGGCGAAGGCGGCUCUCUGGACCGAGACUGACGCUGAGGCGCGAAAGCGUGGGGAG
This 245-nucleotide ribosomal RNA is filed under the name uncultured Azospirillum sp. RNAcentral's name for it is "partial 16S ribosomal RNA". It matches the Rfam family "Bacterial small subunit ribosomal RNA", at positions 524 to 768 of the family's 1533-position model. The record is from RNAcentral. Lineage: Bacteria; Pseudomonadati; Pseudomonadota; Alphaproteobacteria; Rhodospirillales; Azospirillaceae.